GGCUUAUGGAAAGGCCCCGUGGCUAUUACCAGUUUGCAAAAAAUGAUCUCACACUUCAAAAAAUCAAGGUCUUUACAAGUGCAACCAGGACAAAGAUGCAAAUCAAUAUCAAAUGAAGAACUUGAACAUGUCGCAACUGUUAUAGUGGAAGCUAUGGGUGCUGCACAUGGAUGUAGCCAUACUCAGGCAAUACCCAGACAAGUGGAUAUGUCAUAUUCAACUGUGUGGAUAUAUUUGCAUAAAGUGCCGAAAUUUUUCUCUUAUAACAGGGAUGUCAAACUGGUGGGCCGCAUGCGGCCCUCAAUGUGAUUUUUUGUGGCCCCCAACACUUAACUAAAAUGAAAAUGAAAACAAUAGGCUAUGUUAUGAGAUAAUAGAAAGUAAUUCUCGU
Molecule: long non-coding RNA, 391 nt
Filed under: Androctonus crassicauda
Lineage: Eukaryota; Metazoa; Arthropoda; Arachnida; Scorpiones; Buthidae
Source: RNAcentral